GCCAGUGUGGCUCAAUGGUUGAGCAUCAAUCUAUGAAGUAGGAGGCCUUGGUUAGAUUCCCAGUCAGGGCA
RNAcentral lists this transfer RNA (71 nucleotides) under Myotis davidii. It matches the Rfam family "tRNA". From Rfam's summary of the family: Transfer RNA (tRNA) molecules are approximately 80 nucleotides in length. Lineage: Eukaryota; Metazoa; Chordata; Mammalia; Chiroptera; Vespertilionidae. The record is from Rfam by way of RNAcentral.